UACACCUACGGGACGCAGCAGUGGGGAAUAUUGGGCAAUGGACGCAAGUCUGACCCAGCAACGCCGCGUGAAGGAAGAAGGCUUUCGGGUUGUAAACUUCUUUUCUCAGGGACGAAGAAAGUGACGGUACCUGAGGAAUAAGCCACGGCUAACUACGUGCCAGCAGCCGCGGUAAUACGUAGGUGGCAAGCGUUAUCCGGAUUUACUGGGUGUAAAGGGCGUGUAGGCGGGAAAGCAAGUCAGAUGUGAAAACCAUGGGCUCAACCUGUUGCCUGCAUUUGGAACUGUUUUUCUUGAGUACUGGG
This 305-nucleotide ribosomal RNA is filed under the name uncultured bacterium. Its description in RNAcentral is "bacterial SSU rRNA". It matches the Rfam family "Bacterial small subunit ribosomal RNA", at positions 334 to 653 of the family's 1533-position model. The record is from RNAcentral.